This 79-nucleotide small nuclear RNA is filed under the name Homo sapiens (human). Its description in RNAcentral is "partial ncRNA". The record is from RNAcentral. Lineage: Eukaryota; Metazoa; Chordata; Mammalia; Primates; Hominidae.
AGAGUAUCGCUUGAACCCAGGAGGCAGAGGUUGCAGUGAGCCAAGACUGCGCCAUUGCACUGCAGCCUGGGUGACAGAG